RNAcentral lists this unclassified non-coding RNA (391 nucleotides) under soil metagenome. RNAcentral's name for it is "partial contains 5.8S ribosomal RNA, internal transcribed spacer 2, and large subunit ribosomal RNA". The stretch from base 1 to 122 matches the Rfam family "5.8S ribosomal RNA", at positions 35 to 154 of the family's 154-position model. The record is from RNAcentral.
GAUGAAGAACGUAGCGAAAUGCGAUACUUGGUGUGAAUUGCAGAAUCCCGUGAACCAUCGAGUCUUUGAACGCAAGUUGCGCCCGAAGCCAUUAGGCCGAGGGCACGCCUGCCUGGGCGUCACACGUCGUUGCCCCCCCCAUCUACUCCUUCGGGAUUGCGGGGGGCGGAUGAUGGCCUCCCGUGCGCCUCGCCGCGCGGUUGGCAUAAAUGCCAAGUCCUCGGCGACGCACGCCACGACAAUCGGUGGUUGCGAAACCUCGGUUGCCCGUCGUGUGCGGUCGUCGCGCAUCGAGGGCUCGAAAAAAUUGCCGAGCUCCGGCUCGGCUUUCAACGCGACCCCAGGUCAGGCGGGGUUACCCGCUGAAUUUAAGCAUAUCAAUAAGCGGGGA